ACAAGCCUACGGGACGCAGCAGUGAGGGAUAUUGGUCAAUGGGGGAAACCCUGAACCAGCAACGCCGCGUGAGGGAAGACGGUUUUCGGAUUGUAAACCUCUGUCCUCUGUGAAGAUAAUGACGGUAGCAGAGGAGGAAGCUCCGGCUAACUACGUGCCAGCAGCCGCGGUAAUACGGAGGAUGCGAGCGUUAUCCGGAUUUAUUGGGUUUAAAGGGUGCGUAGGCGGAGUGUCAAGUCAGCGGUAAAAUUUCGGGGCUCAACCCCGUCGUGCCGUUGAAACUGACGCCCUUGAGUGAGUGAGAA
Molecule: ribosomal RNA, 305 nt
Filed under: uncultured bacterium
Lineage: Bacteria
Description: bacterial SSU rRNA
Rfam family: Bacterial small subunit ribosomal RNA
Source: RNAcentral